CUCUGCAACAUCUGAAGGUCCACAGUCUUGGGACCACUCCAAUAUCUAUUGCCUGAAACAUUUGCUCAGCAUACAGCUACCUCUCCCGAUCCCUUCAUACACAUGAACGUUUGUUCAACUUGGCUAAGCAUUUAUGUGUUCUGAAUGGAGAGAGGAGGGGUAAGCCACUGCCAGACCCCUCUGGUGACCUCUCUCUCAGAGAACAAAAAAAAUGGUAGUUAAAAUCCAAGAUGCCGACCCUUCUGUCUUGUUUAACCGGGUCUCCCAACUUUUCCCCGACAUGUCUUAAACAAGACAGCUGGUACCGCAUGUACGGGGUCCUGAAACCACUUAUGUCUACCAGAUAUCCAUUUUCCAUUUGCAAGACUAUUCAGCAGUAGACCUUAGGCAAACGUGGCAACCUUCACUACAUGAAUGGAAGUCCAUCAAAUAUACAGUACACAAGAAAGCGUGAAGAGUGAGUAAAGAUUGAAGAGAGAGGACUAAUAAACAGAUCUACUCAAAAGGAGAAAUAUGAAAAUGUGCAGUCAAUGAGUCUUCAAUGCCGAAACUUCAAACCUAAGAAAGAAACAGUUAUAUCUCCUAAGAAAAAGUGACAGAUUUAUCCGGUAUUCCUGGAUGCAUACAGACCUAGGCAGCUGCUGUACAACA
This is a long non-coding RNA of Hyla sarda, 651 nucleotides long. RefSeq lists it as uncharacterized. NCBI's taxonomy places the organism in Eukaryota, Metazoa, Chordata, Amphibia, Anura, Hylidae. The transcript has 3 exons. The record is from RefSeq and is a predicted model, not a curated record.